GGAUCCAUUGGAGGGCAAGUCUGGUGCCAGUAGCCACGGUAAUUCCAGCUCCAAUAGCGUAUAUUUAAGUUGUUGCAGCGCACAAAUUACCCAAUCCUGACACGGGGAGGUAGUGACAAUAAAUAACAAUACCGGGCUCUAUGAGUCGGGUAAUUGGAAUGAGUACAAUCUAAAUUCCUUAACGAGGAUCCAUUGGAGGGUAAGUUUGGUGCCAGCAGCCGCAGUAAUUCAAGCUCCAAUAGCGUAUAUUUAAGUUGUUGCAGUUAAAAGGCUCGUAGUUGGACUUUGGGAUGGGCCGGCCGGUCCGCCUUAGGUGUGCACCGGUCGUCUCGUCCCUUCUGCCGG
Non-coding RNA from Nicotiana tabacum (common tobacco), 345 nucleotides. The record is from RefSeq and is a predicted model, not a curated record. Lineage: Eukaryota; Viridiplantae; Streptophyta; Magnoliopsida; Solanales; Solanaceae.